AUUCUGUCAGAUCGACAUAGCCCUGCUUGUAUAUUAUGUGACUCAGGAGCAGAGAAAGAAAAGUAACUAUUGUCAAUAGGAGUAACGCUGGAUUGGACAACUCCCGUCUUACUUCCUGAGGAGCAGCACUGUAGUAGCCAAGCAACCUGAAGGAUUUGAUAUAACAGCAGGAGUUUCCGGGCAAAGCCAAUGUCUGGGCCAGUGUUUGCAACCUGGAUAACAGCAUUGUUUUAGCAAUCAGAGAAUGGAAGCUGGGGAUAAAGUUUGAGUGAGGCUCGGGGAGACAAAACCAGCAUUCAUCUACAGCACAUGAAAAUGAAUUGGCCCAUCAGCUUUCAACUGAAUAUAGUAGCACUGUGUCUUGCUACAUACAUUUUUCUACACCUCAAAAAAAAGUUUUUGUUUGUUUGUUUGAAACUAAACCCAAUGGAUUAAACCAUCUGCCUACUGUUUUCAAAAUGAAAGAAUUAUUUUCUCCCAAAUGAGUGAGAUAUCCUAGAAUGUAAACCCUUAGAGGGCAAGAAUUAAUAUUUUCAUGUUAUUUAAUAUUCUGCCAAGGAAAAUGCAAAGCCAUGUACUCAGGAGACACUAAUAGACAC
RNAcentral lists this long non-coding RNA (599 nucleotides) under Equus caballus (horse). Its description in RNAcentral is "lncRNA (ENSECAG00000040620.3)". Lineage: Eukaryota; Metazoa; Chordata; Mammalia; Perissodactyla; Equidae. The record is from RNAcentral.